CCUACGGGCGGCAGCAGUGAGGAAUAUUGGUCAAUGGGCGGAAGCCUGAACCAGCCAAGUCGCGUGAGGGAUUAAGGCCCUGCGGGUCGUAAACCUCUUUUGCCGGGGAGCAGAGGUCCGGACGUGUCCGGGCCGGGAUAGUACCCGGAGACAAAGCAUCGGCUAACUCCGUGCCAGCAGCCGCGGUAAUACGGAGGAUGCGAGCGUUCUCCGGAUUUAUUGGGUGUAAAGGGUGCGUAGGCGGGCAUUUAAGCCGGCGGUCAAAUGUCGGGGCUCAACCCCGGCCUGCCGUCGGAACUGGGUGCCUUGAGUGGGCGAGAAGUAUGCGGAAUGCGUGGUGUAGCGGUGAAAUGCAUAGAUAUCACGCAGAACCCCGAUUGCGAAGGCAGCAUACCGGCGCCCGACUGACGCUGAGGCACGAAAGUGCGGGUAUCGAACAGGAUUAGAUACCCGAGUAGUC
Molecule: ribosomal RNA, 460 nt
Filed under: uncultured bacterium
Lineage: Bacteria
Description: partial 16S ribosomal RNA
Rfam family: Bacterial small subunit ribosomal RNA
Source: RNAcentral